RNAcentral lists this transfer RNA (90 nucleotides) under Sulfuricellaceae bacterium. Its description in RNAcentral is "tRNA-Ser". It matches the Rfam family "tRNA". From Rfam's summary of the family: Transfer RNA (tRNA) molecules are approximately 80 nucleotides in length. Their secondary structure includes four short double-helical elements and three loops (D, anti-codon, and T loops). The record is from RNAcentral. Lineage: Bacteria; Pseudomonadati; Pseudomonadota; Betaproteobacteria; Nitrosomonadales; Sulfuricellaceae.
GGAGAGGUGGCAGAGUGGUCGAAUGUACCUGACUCGAAAUCAGGCGUGGGCGCAAGCUCACCGAGGGUUCGAAUCCCUCUCUCUCCGCCA